AUACGGAGGGGGUUAGCGUUGUUCGGAAUUACUGGGCGUAAAGCGCACGUAGGCGGACUGGAAAGUUGGGGGUGAAAUCCCGGGGCUCAACCCCGGAACUGCCUCCAAAACUUCCAAUCUAGAGAUCGAGAGAGGUAAGUGGAAUUCCUAGUGUAGAGGUGAAAUUCGUAGAUAUUAGGAGGAACACCAGUGGCGAAGGCGGCUUACUGGCUCGAUACUGACGCUGAGGUGCGAAAGCGUGGGGAGCAACCAGGAUUAGAAACCCUAGUAGUCC
This 274-nucleotide ribosomal RNA is filed under the name uncultured bacterium. RNAcentral describes it as "partial 16S ribosomal RNA". It matches the Rfam family "Bacterial small subunit ribosomal RNA", at positions 523 to 796 of the family's 1533-position model. The record is from RNAcentral.